CCCGCGGUAGCUCAGCGGUAGAGCGCUCGGCUGUAGACCGAGUGGUCCGGGGUUCGAAUCCCCGCCGCGGGACCA
Molecule: transfer RNA, 75 nt
Filed under: Desulfurococcales archaeon
Lineage: Archaea; Thermoproteati; Thermoproteota; Thermoprotei; Desulfurococcales
Description: tRNA-Tyr
Rfam family: tRNA
About the family: Transfer RNA (tRNA) molecules are approximately 80 nucleotides in length. Their secondary structure includes four short double-helical elements and three loops (D, anti-codon, and T loops).
Source: RNAcentral